RNAcentral lists this ribosomal RNA (426 nucleotides) under uncultured bacterium. RNAcentral's name for it is "bacterial SSU rRNA". It matches the Rfam family "Bacterial small subunit ribosomal RNA", at positions 354 to 796 of the family's 1533-position model. The record is from RNAcentral.
GUGGGGAAUUUUGCGCAAUGGGGGCAACCCUGACGCAGCGACGCCGCGUGCGGGACGAAGUCAUUCGUGACGUAAACCGCUUUCAGCGAGGAAGAACCAUGACGGUACUCGCAGAAGAAGCCCCGGCUAACUACGUGCCAGCAGCCGCGGUAAUACGUAGGGGGCGAGCGUUAUCCGGAAUCAUUGGGCGUAAAGCGCGCGCAGGCGGGCUUUCAAGCGGCGGCGUCGAAGCCGGGGGCUCAACCCCCGGAAGCGCCCCGAACUGGAAGCCUCGGAUGCGGCAGGGGGAGGCGGAAUUCCCGGUGUAGCGGUGAAAUGCGCAGAUAUCGGGAAGAACACCGACGGCGAAGGCAGCCUCCUGGGCCGGCAUCGACGCUGAGGCGCGAAAGCUGGGGGAGCGAACAGGAUUAGAAACCCUAGUAGUCC